This 971-nucleotide long non-coding RNA is filed under the name Vitis vinifera (wine grape). RNAcentral describes it as "long non-coding RNA (VVIN_LNC007664)". The record is from RNAcentral. Lineage: Eukaryota; Viridiplantae; Streptophyta; Magnoliopsida; Vitales; Vitaceae.
AGCAGGGCCCCACACAUCAGAAUGAACCAAAUCAAAUGGAGCAUGAGCGAAAGAUUCACUAUUAUGAAAAGGUCAAGCUGGUUGUUUCGCAAGUUGCUUAUCUAUCUUACUUAGCCUAACCCUCUCUCGAGAAAGCAUUGUCUAUAUUGACUUGAGAGCCUUUCUUCUGUCACAACAAUAAAGGGUAACUUCGGGCUUUCAAGCCGGCACGGGCGGACUCCCUAUACCGUCCCAUGAGCAUGAAAUUCUCCCCCACUUUAGUAAUGAGUAAUGAGGCUAUCUUCUUUUCCUAACCGGACAACUGCCAAAUGCAAAAGGGUUAGGCGAGAUGACUUGACUGAACCGAGCCUACUUUUACUAAAAAAAUCCUUCUUUAAUUAACAUUACCCACUUGCUAACACUGGAGGCCUUAGCAGGGCUUUCAGAAACAGGGCCAUACUCUCGGUCGGGCAUAGAAACUUGCUGGACAAGAGAGGAAAGGAAAUAGGUUGUGGGGUCGCGGUGAAUUGAGCUCUCCCGAUCCAUUGAUCUGCACCUGCGGGUAGAGAAUUUGCAACCAACUUGCUGGCAUUAUAAAAGAGUAAAAGUAAAGAAUAGCACCAACCAAAUGGAAUAAGCUACUAUCACGGGAACUAUACGGGCUAUAGCCCUCACCUCCUUCGAGCCUACCCGAGACUUCCUCUAUAAACCAUAGAACUGGAACAAUCACUGUUCCAGGGUCUGUCUUAGAGUUCUAUCUCGUGCUUGACAUCAAUUACAUCCAAACCUUCAAUCGGGUAUACUUUCCACAAUAACAGGCGAGUCAUAGUUAGGUAAAAGUUAUACAGAAAGAUGACAUCGCUGGCGAACUUGAAGCUAGUUAGGUAGAUCCCCGCCAAGUGUUGACACCGGAUUAGGAAAUUUCUUUCUUUCUUUGAAGGACUCAGCUCCAAUUCCUCUUAGAGAUCCUCUCUUUGCCUUUUUGGUUUCUU